AUCCAGCUGACAAGUCCCAAACAGGAUGAAAUGCACGUCUUGGAU
Schistosoma rodhaini is the source of this 45-nucleotide non-coding RNA. The record is from Rfam. Lineage: Eukaryota; Metazoa; Platyhelminthes; Trematoda; Strigeidida; Schistosomatidae.